CGGGCCAAAGGCACGCGGACCCCGGGCCCAGCAGGUGCGCGGCGCCUGGAGGUCCGCAGGUCGGAAGCCUAGGGCGUGGGACGCCUGCGCGGAAUUCAGGCUGGCCUGCCUGGGGCGGGGCCUCGGGCGCGCUGGGCCGCGGAGCUGACGUCCGCAGGCCGAGGAGACAGUAUGGCCGCCCUCCGCGACGCCGAGAUCCGGAAGGACGUGCAGGACUACUAUGGGCAGACGCUGAAGAAAUCUGCGGACCUCCAGACCAAUGCUUGUGUGACCCCCGCCAGGCCUGUUCUCAAGCACGUCGGGGAAGCCCUGCGGAACGUGCACGAGGAAGUAGCCUUGCGGUACUAUGGCUGUGGUCUGGUCAUCCCGGAGCGUCUGGAAAACUGCUGGGUUUUGGAUCUGGGUAGUGGGAGUGGCAGAGACUGCUACGCGCUUAGUCAGCUGGUUGGUGAGAAGGGACGCGUCACUGGCAUAGACAUGACCAGAGGCCAGGUGGAAGUGGCUAAAAAGUAUCUUGACUACCACAUGGAAAAAUUUGGUUUCCAAACGCCCAAUGUGACUUUUGUCCAUGGCUACAUUGAGAAGCUGGGAGAAGCUGGAAUCAAGGAUGAGAGUUAUGAUAUUGUGAUAUCAAACUGUGUUGUCAACCUCGUGCCUGAUAAACAGCAGGUGCUGCAGGAGGUGUAUCGAGUGCUGAAGCAUGGCGGGGAGCUGUAUUUCAGUGACGUCUACGCCAGCCUUGAACUGCCAGAAGAAGUGAGGACUCACGGAGUUUUAUGGGGUGAGUGCCUGGGAGGCGCUUUGUACUGGAAGGAUCUCGCCAACUUUGCCAAAAACAUUGGGUUCUGCCCUCCACGUUUGGUCACUGCCAAUCUCAUUACAAUUCAAAACAAAGAACUGGAAAGAGUUGUCGGUGACUGUCGUUUUGUGUCUGCAACAUUUCGCCUCUUCAAACUUCCGAAGACAGGACCAGCCGAAAGAUGUCAAGUUGUCUACAGUGGAGGGAUCACAGGACAUGAGAAAGAACUGAUAUUUGAUGCAAAUUUCACGUUUAAGGUGCUUCUUAUGCUACCCUUCAGAAAGGUGAACUCCUGGAAGUGGAUGAAGAAACAGCCAUUAUCUUGAAGAAUUCACGAUUUGCUGAAGAUUUUCUGUUCCAACCGAUUGCAGAGAAGCCGCCGGCCUCUGGAGCCUGCCCUGUGUUAGAAGCCAAGGAUAUCAUCACAGAUCCGUUCCAGCUUGCAGGACAGCCUGACGCUGUGAAGUCCAGCUGUGUCCCUGACGCCGCUGGGGGCUGCUGUGGCAAAAAGAAGAGGUGCUGACCUGGCCGGGCUGGGAGCCCACCAGUGGGCAGAAGGCGCGAGAGCCAGGCGCACCUGCGUUCAACCUGCUUUUCCCUGUGGCACAAACAAUAGGAAGGUAUAAGUGGCAAAAUAGAGCUAUUCUCUGAAUCACUGGUAAAAAUAAGUGAAUCAUUUUUUGGAAAGUAUUAAUUAAAAUUCACAGAAAAUCACCAGAA
RNA transcript from Oryctolagus cuniculus (rabbit), 1519 nucleotides. It is a transcript of the gene named arsenite methyltransferase, with no coding region annotated. The record is from RefSeq and is a predicted model, not a curated record. Lineage: Eukaryota; Metazoa; Chordata; Mammalia; Lagomorpha; Leporidae.